Pollicipes pollicipes is the source of this 837-nucleotide long non-coding RNA. RefSeq lists it as uncharacterized. Lineage: Eukaryota; Metazoa; Arthropoda; Thecostraca; Pollicipedomorpha; Pollicipedidae. The transcript is spliced from 3 exons. The record is from RefSeq and is a predicted model, not a curated record.
GUCAGCGCCGAGCCCGCCGGCGCCGCGCCUCGACCGCGCCGACCACAACCACCGCCUGCACGAGUGCCUUCUCGUCAACCGCAGUCAUUGCCAGCCGGCGCCGGACUACGGCGGCGAGUCCGCCUGCCCGGCCAUGCAGAAACUGCGCCAGCAUCGGCUCGUCCAUUGUUACAGAAUCAAUUUGUGGUAUUCGUUGAAUUUGACGGUCCGCGGGGACGACAGUUGCGUGGAAGAGGAGCUUGAGCAGCACAUCGCCAUUUUGGAUACUCGUGAUCGACAAGUGGGAAUGAUGUACGAGAACUUCGAAAAUAUCCUGGACCGUUACUGAUUGUGAGGAAGAAUACUCAGUGAUAUUUCAAUGCUCGACUUGCAAGGCGGCCUAUCUGGACUGGUUGUGCGCCGUAUACAUCCCGUACUACGGGACGUGGGGCCGGCGCAUGCGGCCGUGCCGCGCCGUCUGCCGCCGGGUGCAGCAGGUGUGCCCGUUCUUCCACCCGUCGGAGCGUCCCACCGCCAACACCCAGUACGCCGGCGAGCCAGCCUUCUUCUGCGAAGACAAGGACAUUCCGGAUAUCUCGCCCUUCAGUAACGGCACCAUGUACGGUGACGACGACUGCUGCUUCCACGCGGCCUGCGCCGGCUGCGGCGACGGCGGCGAUUGUGACGCGGCCACCUGCGCCGGCUACGCCGCCUGCCCCCCAGACUGGCGCGCUGGCAGUGUGGCGCUGGGCCCAGCGCGCUGGCCGCACGUGACAAACGGACAGGCGUCCGGCGCCAGCGCAGCGGCGCACGAGCGAACGGGCCGCCGGCCACGACGACGACGGCGAUGGCGGCGAU